ACGGAGGGAGCUAGCGUUGUUCGGAAUUACUGGGCGUAAAGCGCACGUAGGCGGCUUUGUAAGUCAGAGGUGAAAGCCUGGAGCUCAACUCCAGAACUGCCUUUGAGACUGCAUCGCUUGAAUCCAGGAGGGGUGAGUGGAAUUCCGAGUGUGGGGGUGAAUGGCGUGGAUUUGCGGAAGAUCGGCAGUGGCGAGGGCAGCUAACUGGACUUGUAUUGAUUCUGAGGGUCGAAAGCGUGGUGAUCAAAAAG
RNAcentral lists this ribosomal RNA (251 nucleotides) under uncultured prokaryote. RNAcentral describes it as "partial 16S rRNA". It matches the Rfam family "Bacterial small subunit ribosomal RNA", at positions 525 to 775 of the family's 1533-position model. The record is from RNAcentral.